Molecule: ribosomal RNA, 100 nt
Filed under: Pteropus alecto (black flying fox)
Lineage: Eukaryota; Metazoa; Chordata; Mammalia; Chiroptera; Pteropodidae
Source: RNAcentral
GUCUACAGUCAUGCCACCCUGAACAAGCCUGAUGUCUGAUCUUGGAAGCUAAGCAGUGUUGGACUUGAUUAGUACUUGGAUGGGAGGCCACCUAGGAAGA